Molecule: ribosomal RNA, 465 nt
Filed under: uncultured bacterium
Lineage: Bacteria
Description: partial 16S ribosomal RNA
Rfam family: Bacterial small subunit ribosomal RNA
Source: RNAcentral
CCUACGGGUGGCAGCAGUAGGGAAUCUUCCACAAUGGACGAAAGUCUGAUGGAGCAACGCCGCGUGAGUGAAGAAGGGUGUCGGCUCGUAAAGCUCUGUUGGGAGGGAAGAAAGAUAGAGGGAGUAACUGGCCUUUAUUGGACGGUAAUUACUGAGAAAGUCACGGCUAACUACGUGCCAGAAGCCGCGGUAAUACGUAGGGGGCAAGCGUUGUCCUGAUUUAUUGGGCGUAAAGCGAGUGCAGGCGGUUCAAUAAGUCUGAUGUGAAAGCCUUCGGCUCAACCGGAGAAUUGCAUCAGAAACUGUUGAACUUGAGUGCAGAAGAGGCGAGUGGAACUCCCUGUGUAGCGGUGCAAUGCGUAGAUAUAUGGCAGAACACCAGUGGCGAAGGCGGCUCUCUGGUCUGCAACUGACGCUGAGGCUCGACAGCCUGGGUAGCGAACAGGAUUAGCUACCCUGGUAGUC